This 1367-nucleotide ribosomal RNA is filed under the name uncultured bacterium. RNAcentral describes it as "bacterial SSU rRNA". It matches the Rfam family "Bacterial small subunit ribosomal RNA". The record is from RNAcentral.
GAGUUUGAUCCUGGCUCAGGACGAACGCUGGCGGCGCGCCUAACACAUGCAAGUCGAACGAGCGAGAGGGAGCUUGCUUUCUCGAGCGAGUGGCGAACGGGUGAGUAACGCGUGAGGAACCUGCCUCAAAGAGGGGGACAACAGUUGGAAACGACUGCUAAUACCGCAUAAGCCCACGGCUCGGCAUCGAGCAGAGGGAAAAGGAGCAAUCCGCUUUGAGAUGGCCUCGCGUCCGAUUAGCUGGUUGGUGAGGUAACGGCCCACCAAGGCGACGAUCGGUAGCCGGACUGAGAGGUUGAACGGCCACAUUGGGACUGAGACACGGCCCAGACUCCUACGGGAGGCAGCAGUGGGGAAUAUUGCACAAUGGGGGAAACCCUGAUGCAGCGACGCCGCGUGGAGGAAGAAGGUCUUCGGAUUGUAAACUCCUGUUGUUGGGGAAGAUAAUGACGGUACCCAACAAGGAAGUGACGGCUAACUACGUGCCAGCAGCCGCGGUAAAACGUAGGUCACAAGCGUUGUCCGGAAUUACUGGGUGUAAAGGGAGCGCAGGCGGGAAGACAAGUUGGAAGUGAAAUCUAUGGGCUCAACCCAUAAACUGCUUUCAAAACUGUUUUUCUUGAGUAGUGCAGAGGUACGCGGAAUUCCCGGUGUAGCGUGGAAUGCGUAGAUAUCGGGAGGAACACCAGUGGCGAAGGCGGCCUACUGGGCACCAACUGACGCUGAGGCUCGAAAGUGUGGGUAGCAAACAGGAUUAGAUACCCUGGUAGUCCACACCGUAAACGAUGAUUACUAGGUGUUGGAGGAUUGACCCCUUCAGUGCCGCAGUUAACACAAUAAGUAAUCCACCUGGGGAGUACGACCGCAAGGUUGAAACUCAAAGGAAUUGACGGGGGCCCGCACAAGCAGUGGAGUAUGUGGUUUAAUUCGACGCAACGCGAAGAACCUUACCAAGUCUUGACAUCCCUUGACGAUGCUGGAAACAGUAUUUCUCUUCGGAGCAAGGAGACAGGUGGUGCAUGGUUGUCGUCAGCUCGUGUCGUGAGAUGUUGGGUUAAGUCCCGCAACGAGCGCAACCCUUAUGGUCAGUUACUACGUAAGAGGACUCUGGCCAGACUGCCGUUGACAAAACGGAGGAAGGUGGGGAUGACGUCAAAUCAUCAUGCCCUUUAUGACUUGGGCUACACACGUACUACAAUGGCGUUAAACAAAGAGAAGCAAGACCGCGAGGUGGAGCAAAACUCAGAAACAACGUCCCAGUUCGGACUGCAGGCUGCAACUCGCCUGCACGAAGUCGGAAUUGCUAGUAAUCGUGGAUCAGCAUGCCACGGUGAAUACGUUCCCGGGCCUUGUACACACCGCCCGUC